Molecule: microRNA, 22 nt
Filed under: Mus musculus (house mouse)
Lineage: Eukaryota; Metazoa; Chordata; Mammalia; Rodentia; Muridae
Description: mmu-miR-130c
Gene: mmu-miR-130c
Source: miRBase by way of RNAcentral
CAGUGCAAUGUUCCAAGGUGUG